This 433-nucleotide ribosomal RNA is filed under the name uncultured bacterium. RNAcentral's name for it is "partial 16S ribosomal RNA". It matches the Rfam family "Bacterial small subunit ribosomal RNA", at positions 29 to 507 of the family's 1533-position model. The record is from RNAcentral.
AACGAACGCUGGCGGCAUGCCUAACACAUGCAAGUCGAACGAGACCUUCGGGUCUAGUGGCGCACGGGUGCGUAACGCGUGGGAAUCUGCCCUUGGGUUCCGUAUACCAGUUGUAAACGACUGCUAAUACAGGUUGAUGACGUACGUCCUAAGAUCUAUCGCCAAAGGAUGAGCCCGCGUAGGAUUAGCUAGUUGGUGAGGUACAGGCUGGCCAAGGCGUGGAUGCUUAGCUGGUCUGAGAGGAGGACAAACCACACUGGAAAUGAGACACGGACUAGAAUCCGACGGAGGGCAGCAGAGGAGAAUAUUGGAGGAGGGAGGAAAGCCUAACCCAGCAAUGCCGGGUAAGAGAUGAAGGGGUUAGGGUUGUAAAGCUCUUUUAGACGGGAUGAUAGUGACGGUACCGGGAGAAUAAGCACCGGCUAACUACGUG